GGAGCUUGGGGGUUCCCAACAGGAGAAUUCAAAUGAAGACUACGCUGAAUCUCCGUCUUCAGUAAAAUGUCCAAGCAGCAUGAUGUCAUCAAUACAGGAGACCCGUGCGGUGUUCUGCAGAAAGUCAACGUGACUGUGGUCGUGCAGGCGACACUGUGACAGGGAGCAGGAGAAUUAUCACCAUCUUGGGGCAUGACCGUGAAUGGCUACUCUUCCCAUACACCUCGAAAGCCUCUGGGUUCUCCUCACUAAUGCGGCUUGAGAAGAACACACGGACAGAUCCAACAUGACCUAGCAUCACGCAAACGGCUUUUGCAGACACGAAUCCAGAUGGAUUAAAAGGAGGAUAUAAUUGGAGUUAUCACCCCUCUAGCUUUAAGUCUUUACGGGAGAGAUUAAUUUCUAAGCCCGAAUUAAUUGCGCAUCUACAGAUUCAGAAACUAAAAGCAUGGUUCUAGUUUUAGCUACUCAAUGUGGGGCAUGGUUGUCACGUAGAAAAAGCUGCAUUGGACAUGCAGGCUGGAAAUAUAGAGGAGAAAACUUGGAGUUCCCAUUGUGGCGCAGUGGUUAACGAAUCCAACUAGGAACUAUGAGGUUGCGGGUUCGAUCCCUGGCCUUGCUCAGUGGGUUGACGAUCCCGUGUUGCCGUGAGCUGUGGUGUAGGCUGGCAGCUACAGUUCCCAUUCGACCCCUAGCCAGGGAACCUCCAUAUGCCGUGGGUGCAGCCCCAGAAAAGACAAAAAGACCAAGAAGAAAAGAAAACUGAACAAGGCGUGCAGAUUUCGGAGUCGGAAGAUGGCAGCUGAAGUCAAGGCAGCGGAUGGGGCUGUCCUCAGACAUCAUGGAGACUAAGCACAGCGCGAGUCUCCCCAAGUCAACAGGACUCGACUCCGGAACCCAGCUGUGAAGCCUGAAACCUUGUCAGCCACCUUGUACCACGAGGCAACCAGCCAGCACACCAAGGGCGGCAGAGUGAAAAGCAGCCACGAGCCUGAGCCUCUGAUGGCAUCUGGGAAGCUCUGCCCCAGCCUCCGGCGGCCUGCCUCCAGACCUCUCCUCGUGUGCGAUAAUGAAGGCAUCUGAUUGUUCGAGACACGGCUUGUCAGGUGUUCCGGGGCAGGGCAGGAAGCAGUCCUGACCGAGAGAAAACGUACAGAGCGGCAGGAGCUAACUGCCAGAAGAGAGGGCUAAGUCAAGGCCGUGCUGGAACCAGCGUUAAGGACAAACCUAUCAAUUAGGGAACACAGAGGGUGGCUGUUUUUCAGCUCAGCUCCUGGUUCUGUGGGGGAGACUUGGAAACAAGAGAUGGAGCCUCUGUUCUGAAAGCGUUUACAGCCACGUGGGAGGCGGUCUGAUGAAAUACCACACCAAACAGCAGGCAGCCAAGAGCUGGGUUUUAUAAGCUCCAAGGAGGGGAGGCUUAGUGCAGGGGCAGUGGCUCAGACGGGGGUGGUUUUCUGGAGGCUGAGGGGCUUGAGCCUCGAAAGAUGAAGGGGGUUUGCUGACUCAUCAUUAGCCCAUCCAUGAUCUCUGCCUGGAGGCAUAAGGAUGCUACAGGAGGUGACCUGCCGACAAGGCCCUGGGGCACAGCAGCGGCUCUUUAAGUCUUAAUGCCCUUCUGGUUCUCCACGCGAGGUGCUUUAGGGGGAUAUUUCCUCCCUCUCAGAUUCAUUUACUUCACGCAUAUCUAUUGAGCCUUUACCGUGGAUGAGGAAUGGCCUCCGAUGCUGUGGACACAGGUGUGGGCAGCGCACACAGUACCUAACCUCAGAGAGCUUCCGCUCCAGGGAGGGAGGCAGGUGGCAAAUGAGAGGAAAACCACAAGGCGACCCUACUUCCCGGAGAGUGUGGCAAGCACCAGAACUCAGGAGGACACCACCGCGGGUACCACAUUCCGCCUCUGUGCCCAGGCCACCCCCUGCUGCUGCGGCGGCCAUUCCCCCCACCCCCGCGUCUCCAGGCUCAUCCACCGGCCCAUCUCCCUCUCUGCACGUCCCACGCAGCGUGUCCGAAGCUCCACUUCACACUGCCCCGGCCCUCACCCUUCGGGGCGGCUGCGCCAUCGUCCCAGCAACCACCCUCUGCCACGCCGAUCUUCUCCUCAAGGUGGCAGCACUGAUCCCUCAGCCUAAGGGGCCCCUCCGGGUAGCACUCCCGCACGUCCAGAGCUCAGGGACCACACAGAGGAUCACCCCAAACUGGGACACAGUGAGGAGGGACAGGGCCGCUCUUAAUAAUCACCUCAGAGGACCGGCAAACCAAGGCGUGUGUGGCCUCCUAGCCAGAGCCCAACGCUGAGGUCGGAUGCUCCAGACAGCCGCUUCCUCUGUCACCUCGCCGUUUCCCAAACCAGGGAACACCUGGGAGGUAUCAAUAGGGACAAAAAAAUAAACUACAAAUUCCACAUCGGACUGAUUUUGAGAAACGCUGGGUCAAUCCAAGAUGACUAGGUAUUAGUGAGAACAUCACGUCAUGUCACCCAAGCCCAUCUGACCAUGGAAUCCCUGUGCGGAGAGCAUCGUGUGGAAGUAACACACUUUGAGAAAUACUGUCCCAGGUGAAUCGUUCCUGGAGUUCGUCUUCUCUCUGUCCUGGUGUUUAGUACUAAGACGUGAACAGCAGGAUGGAGACAGGCUCAUACCCAGCUCUGCCUCUUUCCAGCUGGGUGCUGUUCUGGCUGCAAGUAACCCAUCAGCAGAGAUUGUGGUCCAUCAUUCUGACAGCAACGACGCCUGAGCUAAGAGCUUCUAGCCCAGCAGUGUUUUCCAGGACCCAAAUGUUUUCCAUUCCUUCACCCUGCUGUCUUCAGCGUGUUGCUUAACUCGUCUCGUGGUGGCAGGAUGGCUCCAGCACCUCCGAGCACAGCACACAGAAACAAAGACCUCCCACAAAGAGGGACAUGUCCUCCACGUGUGUAGCCUUGACCAUUGAUUCUUAGCAAACAGUAAGUUUUCCAGAUGCCCCAUCUCCAUCUCCGACACACACACACACACACACACACACACACACACACCCUCACGCCUCUAUAGAAGACGUCUCCUCCCCAGGUCUCUGGCUAAGCAGGGUGUCCAACCAACCCAGUCUACCCAGUCCGCCCAGUCCGCCCCGUCUGCCCAGAACUGAUGUUUCCUGGGAUCCGGCACUAACAGCACUAAAACCAGGACAUUCCUGGGCAACUUGAAUGAGUUCGUGGCUGGAUGGGAACAGACCCGAGGACCGCCUGCAUCCAUCCACGGACAGGGGAACGGAUGCACCACGAUGAGCUUAGGCGCAUCGGGACUUAGACGCCGAAACAGGCGAGGGAGCCAGCUUUCCUGAAUGCAGAAUGAGGGCCACCUGCACAAACUUCCCGACUCCUCACGGCGAGGAAGAGGGAAAGGCUGCUGGGGCGGCGCUCGGCAGCGGGGCCUCUUCUGGGAAAUGAGAUGCAGUGGUCAUUCGCUCCCGGCGAGGUGGCGGGGAAGACUGGAUAGGACAGGUGACCGUGCCUUACACGGAAAACCAACAACAGCAUCUUUUUACUAAGCACUUACUGUGUACCAAGCACAGUGCUAAAGCUAUUACAGUAUUCUCACCACAUCCAAACAACAUUCCAGGAGACGGAUGCCACAGAGAUUCCUGAGACACAAAGAGGCCAGGUGAUGUGCCCAAGGUCAUACAAUGAGAAAGCCGUGGAGCCAGGUCUCAAAGCCAAGUUGAACACUGUGAUGCCCAUAUAUUUUUUGGGGGGGGCGGGGUGUGAGGGGGGUUUAGGGCUGCACCUGGGGCAUAUGGAAGUUUCCAGACUAGGGGUCAAAUCCAAGCUGCAGCGCUUAGCCUUUGACCUACACCACAGCUCAAGACAAUGUUGGAUCCUUAACCCACUGAGCAGGGCCAGGGAUUGAACCCCCGUCCCCAUGGAUACUAGCUGGGUUGGUUUCUGAUGAGCCACAACGGGAACCAAACCAUGCCUCUCAAUCUCUCUGCCCCACUGCCUUGCAGUGUUAAUUUCCUUCCCUUUCAUCUCCAGCACCCGGCACAGGCCCGGCACACAGCAAGCCCUCAUUAAAUACUCUUUGAAUGAGUAGAUGGUAA
This 4074-nucleotide long non-coding RNA is filed under the name Sus scrofa (pig). RNAcentral's name for it is "lncRNA (ENSSSCG00025011561.1, ENSSSCG00035071266.1, ENSSSCG00175044464.1)". Lineage: Eukaryota; Metazoa; Chordata; Mammalia; Artiodactyla; Suidae. The record is from RNAcentral.